ACUUAGUGUCUUCGCGACGGUUCCCCUCGGGGAUCAAAAGGGAAUGCGGUGAGGGACAGUUCUUUGAUCCAAGUCCCGAUUCCGCGGCUGCCCCCGCAACUGUAAGCGGCGAGUCUUUCGUCAAUUGCCACUGGGAUCAAGCCCGGGAAGGCGACGAAAGACGGUGACCCGCGAGCCAGGAGACCUGCCGCCAGUCGUGGUCACAC
RNAcentral lists this non-coding RNA (206 nucleotides) under Afipia sp. The record is from RNAcentral. Lineage: Bacteria; Pseudomonadati; Pseudomonadota; Alphaproteobacteria; Hyphomicrobiales; Nitrobacteraceae. RNAcentral also lists the same sequence under 1 other name.